GAAAAUAUAUAUUCCAGAUGGGCGGCAGAAGCACCCGCCAUCUGUGCUGGCGGGUGGCUAACGUCGCCCGCCAGCACAGACGACAUUUGUUCUGGUGGAUGCUCGACCCGCCAGCACAUGCACUUGUAGUCAGCAGCACAAAUCUUUUAUGACCUAGUGAAAGCCGGUCGUCGAGAAUUUGAAGAGCGCGAAGCAAAACGCGCAACCGGCGACGACGAGCACGAGUGCGGCCCACGGGCUGCUGCAGUGGUCACGCAGGAACUCGGCCUUGUGCCUGCGCCAGCUCGAGCGGUAGUACCGGUUCAGAUCGGCGAACAUGGCGGCGAAGCUGUGGUCCUCGUACUCCAAGCUGGCGCAGUCGCCCAGCUGCUGGAAGACCUUGGCCGCCGCGUCGUCAUCGGUGCCCAGGAGGUUGUCGACGACGCCGCGCUUCUGGAGGUGCUCCACGUCCUCGCCCGUCCUAACCCGGGAACCCACCAGCGCCGCGUAGCGCGACACCGGUGGACGUGGCUCUUGGCAGGCGAACUCAUCCUUUUGGUGGUGCCACGCAUCCUGCACUUUGUCCUUCACCUUGGAAAUGCCAGGGAUGUGAGUUACUCGUCUUGGCUCCUUUUUGUUUCGAGCCGGAGCCGGCUGCGCCUUCGAGCUAGUUCCACCACUCCCAGGCUGCGGCACCGGUAGAUCGGCGAACAUGGCGGCGAAGCUAUGGUCCUCGUACUCCAAGCUGGCGCAGUCGCCCAGCUGCUGGAAGAACUUGGCCGCCGCGUCGUCGUCGGUGCCCAGGAGGUUGUCGACGAUGCCGCGCUUCUGAAGGUGCUCCACGUCCUCGCCCGUCCUCACCCGGGAACCCACCAGCGCCGCAUAGCGCGACACCGGUGGACGUGGAUCUUGGCAGGCGAACUCAUCCUUUUGGUGGUGCCACGCAUCCUGCACUUUGCCCUUCACCUUGGAAAUGCCAGGGAUGUGAGUUACUCGUCUUGGCUCCUUUUUGUUUCGAGCCGGUGCCGGCAGCGCCCUCGAGCUAGUUCCACCACUCCCAGGCUGCGGCACCGGUGGACGUGGAUCUUGGUAGGCGAAGUCGCUCCUGCUUUGGGCUUCCCAUCCCGGACUGGGACUGGCUCCUCCUCCUCCUACCAUGGUCAGGCGGCCAAAGGCUGAUGAGAGUACGGAAUCCGUAUAGAAAUGGCAGGCAACUUUAAACCUCAAACAUAUUACAAAUUAAACUCUUCCAUCGAUAUAGCAGCGCUGCUAGCCUAAUUAGAAGUAUAAAAUCACUGCUACUACUGAAAAAUGGAACCGAAAUCGUAGCUAAAUCGAAGAUCUUGUGCACCUAGCUAUAGUUGUUACCUUCUUCAGCAGAGGAGGACGCUUGCCUGUUUUUUGCGUAAAAGGAAAAUGCCAUCAGUUGAUUGUAAUGCUCUCCAGCUUAGACCCGGAUCAAUUGUAGCAGGAGAGUAGUAGUGCUCAACAUGAGCUGAACCCGUUUAGUUUAUAUAUACUUAAUCUCAGCUCUCGUUGGACUUUUGAACUAGGGAGUGAGGUGAGAGGCAACUUCCCUUCCUUUUCUUCUGUCUCUUUCAGUCUCUCUACAUCUGAAGAACAAUUCUGAAGUCAAGGUCGUCAAGGUGCGAGUGCAGCCGGGGGACCGAUUAGGCCCACAUGAUCACAUGGGUCGUUGAAGAAGUCUAAGCCACAUGGUUUUAAAAGACGUACAACCCAUCACGCUGGCGGCUGGUCUACGGGAUGAAGAAAUUGUUCAACUUUUUUUAAGCGGAGAAGAAAUUAUUCAACUUUUUUUGAGCGGAGAAGAAAUUAUUCGACUUGACUUUGACUAUUUGAGAUUGGUGCGAACUUUAAUGGACGAACGAGACCGAAGCGGGUGGGAGAACCACAGCAGCUUUAGGUGGACCUAGACACGUGACAACGCGCGGAUGGCCGUUGUGCAUGGGUUGAAUGGAGAUUCUAUUUAGAUUUUAAAAUUAAAUUUCAUUUUUAUUUCAAACUGUAAGCGUUUUGGAUUCCGUUUGAACCAUGGUGUUACUGAGAAUUUAUGCAACAAAACAAGAUCCAACAUGAAUAUAUUUUAUUUUUAAAAAAAAUGACUUUUUUUGUAAAAUGUUGAGUCAUAAUGUUGGUGAAUGUAAAAAAGGUGAAGAAAAAUGUUGGUGUGUGCGAAAAAAAUGUUGAGCCAUAAUGUUGGUGAAUGUAAAAAAGUUGAAGAAAAAUGUUGGUGCAUAUAAAAAUAUUAAUCAACGUCAAAAAAUAUUGGUGACAAUUAAGCUCAGCCUUAAUGAAAAUAUUGACAAAUGUUAAAAAAUGUUAGUGAAUGAAAAAAAGAUAUAGAAAAUGUUGGUACAUGUAAAAAAGUUAAAGAAAAAAUGUUGAACAAGAAAAAAUGUUGGUCAACAUCAAUAAAAUAUUGGUGUAUUCGAAAAAUAUUUAAAAAUAUUUUGAUUCAAAAUAUGAUCAAAUGUUGUCUUGUUUUGUAGAUCUCGUCAUAAGAAAUAUCAUGGUUCAAUCAAAAUUUGAUUUGGACACUUAGCUUGGAAAUUACGAAUUUUGUUCUUCGGAUCUUUGUUUUGCACAAAAACCAAAACACAUGCCAGCUACUUGCACCAGCUAAUCAUGCAUUGCACUUUCUUCUUUUUUUCAUUGUUAUCUGCGUUGCGGGGCCUUGUGGGCUGUGCGAUCUCUAAAGUUACUAGAGCAGCUUUAACGUGUGUUCUAAGGGGCCUUGUGGCCUCGGUUGCCAUGGUGUCAGGCGUCGUGAUCGGUUUUGGUCUCCUAAAUUUUAAACCUUUUUAAAAUUUACUUAACAUCAGAUUUUGGUACUUGAUGACGUUUAUCAAACGGGGAUUGCUGUACUACACUCGAGUGUAAAUCCUUCUUCAUACACUUGGAUUUUCCUCUUCCACAUCUUCCCCUCUUCUCCACCUCCGGCGAUCUUUUAAUGUUUGGGGUUGGGGGGUUCGGUGUUACCUGUGUUCGCCGGACCUAGAGGGAGCUCCGGGGUGGUAGGAUAGCGGGUGGUGGUGGCAGUAGAGACGGCGGCGAGGUGGGGCCGCAGGGGCACCGCCUGCCGGGGCAGCAGUGGACUCCCAGCUGGAUGGUGAAGGGGUGGGGCCGAGCACCGGCGACGAAUUGGUGUGGGGACGGUUGAGAUAGCGACAACGAAUCCAGCAGUAUGGUGGGAGCUGCCGAAGAUGGACAAGGCGGUGGCUAACACAGGGUGAAUGGUGGAAGUGACCUCAAUCGGCAUGGACAAAUGGAUGAGGGAGGGUGGGCCAUGCCGACACCAUCCAGCACCGGUGAGGCGGAGAGCAGCGGUGGUGCGGGACGGAGGCGGCGCGUCGAGAGGAAGAAGACGCUCGCGACUCCCCUCGACUCGCGAUGAGUGGAUAUGACCUGUCGUGGGGUGGAGACAAAGUUUGUCGAAGUUGAUCUAAGCCACUCAUUUUAGAUCCAAGAGCUAGGAAUUCGAGCGUGGAAGAAAAAAAAUUGCGAGUGUACAGUAGAUAGCCCCUAUCAAAUUCAUAUGCUUGGGUUUGGGUAUCAAACUUAAGUUACAAUUCUUGUAUCAGAUAUAACAAAAUCAUUCAAUGGACUGUGAAAAGGUUUUUAAUUCGGGUUUAGUAACUAUUGAAUUGAUUGACCAGUUCAUCGUCUACGUAACAUGUCCAGAUCACAUGCACGCCUUCCGGACCCAAGCAGUCUUGGCACACUCAACUAAUUGGUUAGUCUCUAACUUGUUUUUGUCUUUGUUUCCCAGGAUAAUCGAAGAAACCUUUUGGUGCAACUUCUUCCCCGCUCUUUCCUUCAUCUCCCCAGCCUUUUGGUGCAUCACCGCCUUCGCUUUCUCCUUUUUUUUGAAAGGAAAAGGAGGAUAAACCCCUACUUAUUAUAUAUUAAAAAAAUGAAAGGGUACAAAGGUAACAACAAAAAUCUAAAGAAGGAGAAGAAGAACAACAACACGCUAAGGGGUUACAGGGUAUGCAACCAGACAUUCAUAGAGGGAACUAAGGCGGGACAAGCUCUGUGAAGUAACAGGGAGAAUUCAUAUUUGAAUUUACUUUUGCACAUUUUUACUGAUGGAUCUAUUCCCUUGAACAUCAGUCAUUCCUAGUUGUCCAGAUGCUCCAUGGCAUAAUGAUUAUGACUUCCAUGAAGAAAGGAACUGUGAGCUUGUUCUUGAUUUGUCUGAUGAUCUGAAGGAUCGGUCUGGUGGUGAUAACUAAAAUUCCAAUUGAGUUCCAGCAUGCUUUGGGAAAGUUACAUCGGAGGAAUAGAUAUGCCACAUUUAACAUCUUUUGCAGGAUGCAUAAUUCGCAAGUGUAGGAGCUCAGAUCCAUUUGUUUCCUUCUCAAUAUAUCUUUUGUACUAAGACAAUCUUUGAGCAAUAGCCAGAAGAAGACCUUGUGUUUCAUUUGAGAUUUAGAUUUCCAAAGCCAUGACUAUGCUGGGUGGGUGUUUCUCUAUCAUAUCAUAGCCUUGUACGCUUUGGAUGUUGAAAACAUUGAGUUGCCCCAAAUGUAUGUCCACUUGUAAGGUUCAUGUACGACGUUCAUGCCUUCAAUGAGUUGCUGCCAUCAAUGAGUUGCUGUAAUAUAAGAAAUUGUGAGUGUGCCUGGGUUGUUAGGGGUAGGUUGAAAUUCUGGAUGAAACUUGGUUGGUUAACAGCCUCUUUGAAAGUAAUGUUGUGGUCUUUGGCAAAAGAGAAAAGCUUCGGAUGAACCUGUGAUUGCACUGCUCCAUUCCAAAUAUCUUUCCAAAAGAGUAUUGUGGAGCCUUCUGCCACUAAAACUGAAGCAAUUCCUUUGUAUGUGUCCAAUAAUUUGGCUACAUCCCUCCACCAAAAGGAGCCUUUUCUUUGCUGACCUGGCAGUCGACCAUUAGCAUAGUAUUUUCCCCAUACAAGGUUGACCCAAGGAAUGUCAGCCUUAGAGAAAAACUUGAGUAGAAACUUUAGUAGCAUGGCAUCAUUAUGUGCAGCAAGGUUGGUAACUCCUAAUCCACCUUGUUUCUUGGGCAGGCAUACCAUAGGCCAAGCAGCUUUGGUAGGCUUCUUGGAAUUCAUGCCUGAGCCCCUCCAUAAGCAGUGCUUCCUAUAUUUGUCCAAUUGUUUUAUGACCCCUUUGUGUAAUUUAAGUGUUGAUGUAUAGAAGACUGCUGAGGAAGAGAAGACUGAGUUAACCAUCUCCAAUUUUCCCCCUUUGCUCAGGAAAACUGAUGAGCUACUAAGGCUCUUUUCUAUCUUUUGGAUGAGGGGCAGAAAGUUUUCCAUGUUAGGCUUAGUCAUUCCUAGGGGUAGUCCUAGGUAAGUGAAGGGAAGAGAGCCUUUUUGACAAUCAAAAGUUCUGGCGAGAUCAUCGAGUUUUGCAUCCGAAAUGUUCAGAGGUACUAUAACCGAUUUACUAUAAUUGAGCUUCAGCCCAGUCGAGGCAGCAAAGGUGUUGAGAAGGUCUUUGAGAAAUAAGAGUUGGUUUGGGCAUGCCUCCAUAACAAGAAGGGUGUCAUUUGCAUAUUGAAUAAUUGGAAAAUCUGUCCCUACUCUUUCUGGAAUUGGUAGUUUAAGGGAUCCUUGAUCUUGGGCUCUGUUGAUUAUUGAUUGGAGCAGGUCUGCUACCAGAAUAAAAAGAAGGGGUGAGAGGGGAUCAUAUUGUCUUACUCCUCUUCUGCAGUGGAAGACUUUCCCUGGAACUCCAUUCAGAAGAAUUGAAGAUGUGCCUGAUUCUAGUAUAUCUUUGAUCCAUUUAAUCCAUCUAUCCCUGAAGCCUUUAUGUUUUGAGGCCUUGCAGAUAUGUAAGUAUUCAAAGGCCCAGGCCAGAUAGUCAUGUAUAAAUCUUGAUCUAAUGAACCCAUAUUAAUUUUUGUGUAUCAAUCGUAGAAUCACUUGUUGCAGCCUGUCUGCAAGUAGCUUGGUUAGAAGCUUAACUGUGGAGUUCAGAAGAGAAAUUGGUCUAAAGUCUCCAACCAAGGAUGGACAGUCCUUCUUGGGGACCAGAGUGAUGUAUGAGGCAUUGAUGCUUCUUAGGCAUAUGUUCCUUUCAAAGAAAUCCUCACAGAGUUUGUAGAAAUCCUGAGAAAUUAGAUUCGUGCACUUUUUGAGGAACUCUCCAUUGAAGCCAUUAGGUUCUGGGGACUUGUUGCAAGGUAGCUCUGUAAUUAUCCUAUCAAUUGCUUCUUUAGUAAAUGGACUUUCUAACCAGUCCAACUUGUUGUCAGUCUGGAGUAGAGAGAAAAGGUUAGAGUACAUGUGUGUGAACUCUGAAGGUCCUAUUCUUUCUUUAUAAGUGUUCCAGAGCAUAGCUGCCUUAGCUUCAUGGUCAAACACUUCACUUCCGAAUUCAUCAGUCAGGGAGCUAAUGGUGUUCUUCCUGUGUCUGAUGAAUGCAUUGGCAUGGUAAAACUGGGUGCAUUCAUCGCCAAACUUGACCCAUUUGAUUAUUCCUUUUUUACUUCCAGUAGGUCUUUUGUUGAUGAAAGAGGUUCUGCAAGUGGUUUGUAAUUAUGUGCCUAAAGUUCCAUUCUUCCAAGGUUAAAUCUCUUGUUUCUUCCAAAGUGUCCAGGAGCUGGAACAAGUCUUUGCGAUUUCUGAUGACAGUUGCUAAAUUUGGUAACUGGGCUUUCCAAGCAUUUAACACUCUUCUUAGGUUCUUAAAUUUUGUACUUAUCCUCUUAGCACUAUCAGUUUGAGAGUUGGGCAAAUUCCAUCCAUGUUGUAGAACUGGUACAAAGUUCUCAUGUUCCAACCAAUAAUUUUCAAAUCUGAAUGUCCUAGGUUUGGGGACAUUUGUGCCUACCGUGAUGGUACAUGGGGUAUGAUCUGAGGUGUCUCUGGACAACCCUGAAGCAAAGGAAUUUGGAAAGGAAGUUGUCCAAGUAUUGGAUGUGAAGAACCAGUGUAAUCUUUCCAGUGAAGGAUUUUGUUGCUUGUUUGUCUAGGUAAAUUUGCAUCCUCUGAGGGGUAGUUCCGCUAAUCUGAGACUAUUGAUGGCUUCAUUAAAGGCCAGCAUUUCCUGGAGAUUCCCUCCUGGCUCGUUUCUAUCUUCAGACUUCCUGAGAAGGUUGAAGUCUCCUACAAUAAGCCAUUUUUCAUCAUCGGGCAUGCUAAUUCUUUUCAACCAGUUCAGGAAUGCAGAUUUACCUUCUGUAGUACGGGUGCAUAGAUAUUAGUUAGAAUCCAGUUUUCUCUAGUCAACUUGCAUCAGAAUUGCACUGAUUGGGCAUAGUCGUUUUGAAAGGCCAAGUGGCCACUAAACUUGGAACUGUUAUAGGCAAUGAUACUCCCCCUGAAUUUCCCACUAAUGGGAAGAAUACAUAGUCAUCCAUGUAUGCAGGACAAAAAUUUGUAAUAUAUGUAGAAUCAAAGAAUUCCUUCUUAGUUUCUUGUAGGCACAGAGUAUCACAUUUGGAUUCAUAAACCUUGCUUUUGACCACAUCCCAUUUCUCAUUAGAGUUAAUACCUCUAAUAUUCCACGAUAGAAUGACUCAAUUCCUUUUAUGUUGUCCCAGAUUCAUAGAUGCUCGUUGAGAGGCACAACAGAAUGCAUGUGCAACAUGCAAAUAUCCUUAGUAUAUGCAAACCACAAUAAUUAGACAUCCUAAUUAAGGUAAAGUUCAUCAGGAUCAACCACAGGUUCAUAUGGAGGAAUAAAGAAGUCCACAUCCCCACAACAUUAUAGUUUAACAAAAGUUUGACUCUUCCCAUUGAGAUAAAAGAUAAACUGGAAGCGAAGAUAGCAAAGAGGAUCCUGCUACUUGUUGAUCUUCUUUCUUGAUUCCUGAGAUUCAAUCUCAUCGAUCUUCUCCUUGCCCUUCUCUCUCUUGGAGCUGAUCACCUUCCUGGAGGUCCUGUGGCUUCCAAUGGCUUGCUUGUUGCUGGUUUUAUUGGAUAGAGUAUCUUCUGACAGAGCUUCAGCAUUUAUCUUGCAAAAUCCAUCCUCAAUCUUCUUAAUGUCUCUAAUUGGUAUGACUGGUGGGGUGGUAGCACAUGCUAAGCAGUUUCUAUUAACACAGCUAUUGUGUUUGAACCCCUCAUUACGGCUCCUAAUCCAGGGGCUCCUUCUGGCUUCAGUCUCCACUUGGGAGGUGAGGCCCUUGGUUUUCACCUUGGCUGGACCAGAUAGAUGGUUAACCUUUCCAUCAGAGCUAUCACUAGCUUCUGUAGAGGGAGAACAUUGAACUUUUGCAUUUUCUAGGCAAGUAGCUGGUAAGGCAAAAGCCAUCAUGGACGAUGUAUUUGUGCAUGUGAGCAUGAACCUCCAAGCUUGAGAUGACAUAAACAUCUUGGCCCAUUCGAAAUGAGACGGAGAGAGCAGCAUGAUAGUGAAGAAAGCAGCCUAAUCCUUGGGAAUCUGAACCACAGGACAUCCUACUAGGGAGAAUUGUCGCGCCCAUAGCUUGUAGACAUCAGGGUUUGUUUUGCUACAACCUUGAGCAUUAGCAUCCAAAAAAUUGUAGCUUAUUCCCAAAAUCACAAAUAUAAGCUCUAAAUAACACAUUCAUAUAAAUGAAAAAUUUCUCCAUUGUACCUUAUUCUAAAAAUCACAAAUUACUCUAGCUCUAAAGCAUAAAACUUAGUAUACUAACCAUGUAUCAAGGGAGGAUGAAAUUUCUAACAUUUAGAACACUUGAAUGAGUGAAAUCCUCAAGAAAUGGUCACAAAUCCGGCAGCACCUCCCCUUAUUUCGCCAUGGAUAGGGUGAAGCUCGAGCUGGAGGAGAUGGCUCGGGCUACAUGAGGAAGGAGGGGUAUUUAUAGGAAGGAAAUUAGUACCGGUUGGGGACACCAAUCGGUACUAAAGGAGGGGGUCAGAAAUUAGUACCGAUUGUUGCCACCAACCGGUACUAAAGGGAUGGUGGUGCUUUAGUACCGGUUGGGGAUACAAAACGGUACUAAUGUAUACCUUUAGUACCGGUUAGUGCCCCCAAUCGGUACUAAAGGGGCUCACGGGAGCCCCCACAGGGACUAUACAUUAGGUCCGAUACUAAUGAUAUUAGUAACGGGUCUAAAAGUGAUCGGUACUAAGCCUUGAGAUGAGAGGUAGAUUUCCUAGUAGUGAGGUAUUUUGGUCUUUUCCCAAGGUGCUCGUUUCCAUUAGCACCUAUUAUCUAGCUCCACUCUCACAUCUAAAGUUUGGACACUUUUUUUAGAGCUCGAAUAAAGUUUAGCUCACCUAUUAGUUUAAAACGGAUAAGCUAGCACUAAAAUUUAGCACUUGGAUUAGCAUCCGGAUCCGAACGAGGUGUAAGUUCAGCUGCGUGUACGACUGGGCUUGGAACCUAUGGAAGCAUAUGUACUUAUGUAGUCUUGCAUGAUACUCUGCACAUGGAUGUAUGUAGAACUAGCAGUGACAGUAAGGAUGGGCAAAGCCAUAGAUGGUCGUCGAGAAUUUGAAGAGCGCGAAGCAAAACGCGCAACCGGCGACGACGAGCGCGAGCACGGCCCACGGGCUGCUGCAGUGGUCACGCAGGAACUCGGCCUUGUGCCUGCGCCAGCUCGAGCGGUAGUACCGGUUCAGAUCGGCGAACAUGGCGGCGAAGAUGUGGUCCUCGUACUCCAAGCUGGCGCAGUCGCCCAGCUGCUGGAAGAACUUGGCCGCCGCGUCGUCGUCGGUGCCCAGGAGGUUGUCGACGAUGCCGCGCUUCUGGAGGUGCUCCACGUCCUUGCCCGUCCUCACCAGGGAACCCACCAGCGCCGCGUAGCAAGACACCGGCUUGCCGUGCCGUCGCCGGCCGUCGUCCCUGACUGUCUGCUCGAACGCGACGAGGUUCACGAGCAGCGGCCAGCUCGCGUGGUCCACCUCCAGGCGCGGCAUCCUCACGACGCCAGCCGCCGCGUCGAACGUGACGUCGAGCAUGUGGGCCGGCGCCUUCUUCUCGAACCGGACGCCGGCCUUGCGGAGCAGGGUGACGGGCGGCACGACCACCGUGCGCGUCGUCGUCUCGGGCUCCGGCGCCGCCUUUCUUCCGAUCCGAACCCUGCACUUGCUGAACCAGCUGGCGGUCACUAUCCAGCGCGGCAGCUGGGGCGCCAUGCCCCGCAUGAAGGCGAACCUUUCGGACACGGCCUUGUUGACCCGGAUGCCCAUCUGACGCAGCUUUUCCACACACCGUGGCGCCGGGCGUGGUGGCGAGGCAUCGGCGGCGACCAGCGCUAUCUCCUCAGCCGUGGGAACGACGGCCUCGUAGAGGAGAUGGAGCAAGUGGCGGAUCUCUCCGGCUUGGGCCGCCCUUUCCAUCUCCGUCGCCGAUAGUUCUGUGGAGGGCGAGAGCCUCAAAUGGGGAAGGAUCAGACUGUGGAGAUGGGACGUCUCAUCCUCAGGCACUACCAAUCGGAAGAGCGCCUCGAGCACGAAGAAGGGGAUCUGGUUCUCCAGUAGCAGGAGGUCAGAGUGAAGCAGGGGAAGCCCCCAGCCCACGUCGCAGAUGUCGUCUUCCUCCUCGUUGUGCCACUUGAUGAAGAACCGGAGGACGAAGCAGCCGUCAAGCAGCAGCAUCUCCCCAAAGUCGUCGGGGCCUCGCCGGGACUGCCCGUCGUCGACCUCCCCACCCAACGGCCCGCCCUUGGCGGCGGCGUCGAAGAUGUCCGUCCUCUCAACGUAGCAGCACCGCGCCCGGUGCUCGACGUCGCGGACGGCUUCGACGCACCUCGCCAGCAAGGUCCGCGGACGACGCUCCCUCAGCAGCUCGCGCAGGUACCUCCACUUGUGCUGCUCCAUGGCGCGCAGCGCCGCCCGACCGCGGUAGUAGGGGCCGACGGACACCAGGCGUGGCUCGUACAGCUCCUUGUUGGCGUCGCGGACAUGGGCGGGGACCCGGAAGAUGGUCGUCGAUCUGCUCCCGCCCUCGCCGUCGUCGUGGAGGAGAAGCCUUUGCUCAACCACGAUCUUCAAGCUGUCCGCCUCCGGUGUUGACGGCGCCGUCACGAACUCGCUCUCGGUUGCCAUGGCGUAAGGUGUUGUGGUUUAGUUUUGGGGCUCUCAGAUGAGCGGGGGGUGGAUAACAGUUAUCAAAGCGUGGCCGAGGUGGCAUUGUUGAUAACGUUUAGCAUGCCUCGGUCUACCCCUCGUCAAUUUUGCAGCUGUAUAGUACAGUUUUUCUUUCAAAUCAACUAUGCACAAUCUCUACUAUUGUUGAAGAGACCGACAUUUCUAUGGUCUUCCUAAGUCACGCAUAAAACCGUGCAAAAGCGACAUAAUGAGUAGAUAAAAGAAAUAGGACGGGGUUACUAUGCACAAAACUAUAACAAAACAGAUUUGUUCUUCAUCAAACGUUUGAUAUUUGGGUUAUGUGUCAAUCGACGCUCUCGGGUGUCGGAUCGUUGGUGUGGAUGGAAGAUAUUGCUCUCGAGCGUUAGAUCGUCGGUGGUCGGAUGGAAGGUCAUUGCUUGUUCACAUUUUUUAUUAAGUAGCCAAAUGUUUUAGUCUUAUUUGGAUAUUUGGAAAACACCCAACCAAAAAUUUUCCAAUAACGAAGAAAGGGAUAUUGCGAUAUACCUAUUAACUAAUUAUUAGGAAAUAUUUAUUGGAAUAGUUUCUCAUUUCUUAUAAUCUUUGUUUCCCGAGCAGAGCGAAGUAGCCUUCUGCAUGACUUUCUUGGAUUUAUCCUUGAACUCAUCCUUUUGGUGGUCCCACGCAUCCUGCACUUUGUCCUUCACCUUGGAAAUGCCAGGGAUGUGAGUUACUCGUCUUGGCUCCUUUUUGUUUCGAGCCGGUGCCGGCAGCGCCCUCGAGCUAGUUUCACCACUCCCAGGCUGCGGCACCGGUGGACAUGGAUCUUGGUAGGCGAAG
This 11791-nucleotide long non-coding RNA is filed under the name Setaria italica (foxtail millet). RNAcentral's name for it is "long non-coding RNA (SITA_LNC000034)". The record is from RNAcentral. Lineage: Eukaryota; Viridiplantae; Streptophyta; Magnoliopsida; Poales; Poaceae.